GCACCUCCCUGUGCUUGCUUGCAUAUAGGAAAUUAGGAUGGUACAGAGAAGAUUAGCAGGCCCCCUGCCCAGGGGUGACACACACAUUUGCAAAGAGGUCCCAUAUUUA
Mustela putorius furo (domestic ferret) is the source of this 109-nucleotide small nuclear RNA. NCBI's taxonomy places the organism in Eukaryota, Metazoa, Chordata, Mammalia, Carnivora, Mustelidae. The record is from Ensembl.